Long non-coding RNA from Pecten maximus, 1945 nucleotides. RefSeq lists it as uncharacterized. The transcript is spliced from 3 exons. The record is from RefSeq and is a predicted model, not a curated record. NCBI's taxonomy places the organism in Eukaryota, Metazoa, Mollusca, Bivalvia, Pectinida, Pectinidae.
AAUUUCUUUGUUAAUGAGAAAUCAUUGUAUGUAUUUAAAGGAUAAGAUUUCUUUGUUAAUGAGAAAUCAUUGUAUGUAUUUAAAGGAUGAAAUUUCUUUGUUAAUGAGAUUUUAUCAUUUGAUGUUAAAACCUGCCUUUUAUGGAACUGAUCAAACAGAAUAGUUAAUAUGAACAAAAAAAAUGAUAUCCUCACUGAAAAUGAAGAUAAAAUUAUGACAGUUUUUUUAGGUUUUAUUGGAUGUAGAGAAUGGUCACACUCAUCACUAUGUACAGCAUUCAACGGGAUAUCAUAUCAUUUAAUGGAAAACUUUGGCAAAACAUCAAGUAUAUUCUGACGUUUCAAUAAUCCAACUCCUGCCAUGUCUACCACACAAUACAUUUAAUUAUUGUGGUAAAUCCUACCUAUCUGGCCGUGCGGGGCCUGAACAUAACUUUAAAAUUCAUAUCCCCCAAGUGUUACAGAUAUAUACACCAUUUGAUAGCCUAUAUUUUGGUUUCAAUGUUUUGUUUAUUUCUACAUUGUGUUGUAAUUAUUUUACCAUAAGAUAUAACUAUAUAUUGCUGAUGUAAAACUGUUGAGGAAAACUUGCCCAAUCUUUAUUGCACUUGUAUCAUUAUGAAGUACAGGCAGGAGAAAAAAAAUAUUAAGGAAUUUUAGAUAAAACUAGAGAACCAAGAAAAAAAUAUCACAUGUGAAUUUUAUUAUAAGUGUAAUGCAAAUUUUGAAUGUAAAUUUUAAAAUUUUUAAUACAUGUAGAUAUUAAAUUAUAUGAUGAUUUAUUCGAGGAUUCUGAAAUCCAUAGACAUUCUUAAUUGUAGGUGUACAUGUACAUUAGACAUUCUUAAUUGUAGGUGUAUAUGUAAUAUACAUUAGACAUUCCUAAUUGUAGGUGUACAUGUCAUAUACAUUAGACAUUCCUAAUUGUAGGUGUACAUGUUAUAUACAUUAGACAUUCCUAAUUGUAGGUGUACGUGUACAUUAGACAUUCCUAAUUGUAGGUGUACAUGUUAUAUACAUUAGACAUUCCUAAUUGUAGGUGUACAUGUAAUAUACAUUAGACAUUCCUAAUUGUAGGUGUAUAUGUACAUUAGACAUUCCUAAUUGUAGGUGUACGUGUACAUUAGACAUUCCUAAUUGUAGGUGUACGUGUUCAUUAGACAUUCCUAAUUGUAGGUGUACAUGUAAUAUACAUUAGACAUUCCUAAUUGUAGGUGUACAUGUACAUUAGACAUUCCUAAUUGUAGGUGUAUAUGUACAUUAGACAUUCCUAAUUGUAGGUGUACAUGUACAUUAGACAUUCCUAAUUGUAGGUGUACAUGUAAUAUACAUUAGACAUUCCUAAUUGUAGGUGUACGUGUACAUUAGACAUUCCUAAUUGUAGGUGUACAUGUAAUAUACAUUAGACAUUCCUAAUUGUAGGUGUACAUGUAAUAUACAUUAGACAUUCCUAAUUGUAGGUGUACAUGUAAUAUACAUUAGACAUUCCUAAUUGUAGGUGUACAUGUACAUUAGACAUUCCUAAUUGUAGGUGUACGUGUACAUUAGACAUUCCUAAUUGUAGGUGUACGUGUACAUUAGACAUUCCUAAUUGUAGGUGUACGUGUACAUUAGACAUUCCUAAUUGUAGGUGUACAUGUAAUAUACAUUAGACAUUCCUAAUUGUAGGUGUACAUGUAAUAUACAUUAGACAUUCCUAAUUGUAGGUGUACAUGUACAUUAGACAUUCCUAAUUGUAGGUGUACAUGUAAUAUACAUUAGACAUUCCUAAUUGUAGGUGUACAUGUAAUAUACAUUAGACAUUCCUAAUUGUAGGUGUACGUGUACAUUAGACAUUCCUAAUUGUAGGUGUACAUGUAAUAUACAUUAGACAUUCCUAAUUGUAGGUGUACAUGUACAUUAGACAUUCCUAAUUGUAGGUGUACAUAUACAUUAGACAUUCCUAA